AUAAAAUGUUGCACAACAUUCUGCUAAACAAGGACCCCAAAUUACAGACACUUGGAGGAAUUUGAGACAUAAUAUUUAGGCAUGAUAUCAUGGUGAAAUUCUAAGGAGACAUUCAUUGCCUCUCCUAGGAGAGAAGGAAGAAUUAAGUCCUAGAUGCAGUUGUACACAGUACUGGUAAAACAACAAAUCCUGUCAGGUAGAGAUAUGAAACUAAGAAGUGCUUUGUAGAUCUGCUGAAGACUUAAAAGUUGUUCUCAACACUGUUUCAACGGUAGCUUUCAGAAAAAAACUUUAGAUAGUAUUUGACAAACUGUAUCUUCUGAACAUUUUUGUCAUGGUCUCUCCCAGAAUUUGUUCUAAGUAAGCAAUUACCCUGGCAAAGUCCUGUCUUUGGAAGA
Molecule: long non-coding RNA, 398 nt
Filed under: Meleagris gallopavo (turkey)
Lineage: Eukaryota; Metazoa; Chordata; Aves; Galliformes; Phasianidae
Description: lncRNA (ENSMGAG00000021931.1)
Source: RNAcentral